Molecule: transfer RNA, 69 nt
Filed under: Canthidium sp. DPP-2018
Lineage: Eukaryota; Metazoa; Arthropoda; Insecta; Coleoptera; Scarabaeidae
Description: tRNA-Phe
Source: RNAcentral
NNUUAGAUAGCUUAAAUUUAGAGCAUAAUAUUGAAGAUAUUAGGGUAAAAUAAAAUAUAUUUUUAAGUA